Molecule: ribosomal RNA, 421 nt
Filed under: uncultured archaeon
Lineage: Archaea
Description: partial 16S ribosomal RNA
Rfam family: Archaeal small subunit ribosomal RNA
Source: RNAcentral
CUACGGGCCGCUGCAGUUAGGAAUAAUCUACAAUGCGCGAAAGCGUGAUAGUUUGAGCCAGAGUGUUUUUCAAUUGAAAGACUUUUGUGGAAUGUAAAAAGUUUCACGAAUAAGGACUGGGUAAGACUAGUGCCAGCCGCCGCGGUAAUACUAGCGGUCCAAGUCGCAACCAUUUUUAUUGGGUCUAAAACAUCCGUAGCUUGCUUGACAAGUCUUCUGUGAAAUUUUACGUCUAAAACGUAGAGCGCGCAGAAGGUACUAUCAAGCUAGAGACCGGAAGACGUAAGAAGUACAUUCAGAGUAGCGGUUAAAUGUGUUAAUCCUGGAUGGACUAACAAGAGCGAAGGCAUCUUACGAGGACGGUUCUGACAGUAAGGGAUGAAAGCUAGGGGCGCAAAUGGGAUUAGAUACCCGAGUAGUC